ACGUAGGGAGCAAGCGUUGUCCGGAAUUACUGGGCGUAAAGGGCGCGUAGGCGGGUAUUUAAGUCAGAUGUGAAAGCCCCAGGCUUAACUUGGGGAUUGCAUUUGAAACUGGGUAUCUUGAGGGCAGGAGAGGAAAGUGGAAUUCCUAGUGUAGCGGUGGAAUGCGUAGAUAUUAGGAGGAACACCAGCAGCGAAGGCGACUUUCUGGACUGUACCUGACGCUGAGGCGCGAAAGCAUGGGGAGCGAACAG
This 251-nucleotide ribosomal RNA is filed under the name uncultured prokaryote. RNAcentral describes it as "partial 16S rRNA". It matches the Rfam family "Bacterial small subunit ribosomal RNA", at positions 525 to 775 of the family's 1533-position model. The record is from RNAcentral.